CCGCGGCCGAGCCGGCCAAACUCAAGUUGGUUCAGGGAAUUGUCAACAAAGGGACGAGAGACGCGCAACUCCGCUCCGCACUGUGCGCCAGCAUCCCCGGGGCACGGAGGGCGCUGCGGCCCGCCCGGAGACCCCCCCACCCAGGCUGGAUCCGGGCCCUGGGGCCCAGGGAGCGGGUGGGUGUGAGUGUGGGUGGGUGUGAGCGAGUCAGGGCGUGGGCCUGGGAGCGUCCGCGGGACUGUGCGACUGUCGCUGCCCUGCCUUCCCCGCCCCCUCUCCCUUCCGCCCUUCUCCCCCCCACUUUGUCACACUCCUUAGACAGGGACUGGGCGACCUAGAACGAGGUUCCCAUAUCGUGUUUUAAAAAGCAAAACUUAGUCUCUGUUUUGCUUUUUGUUUCAUUGUUUUUAGCUUUAAAGAGUAAGAGCAGCGCACCCGGCUCCCUCCUGCUAAUUAGAUUUCAGAUUCCCCUCUGGCCUCAGUGCUCAUUCCGGGGAAGACACCUGCUGAGAUGUCUUUUUCCCCCUCCCCCAACCAAACCACUCAGGUCCUACCUGCUCUUUCCCGGCUUGAUGCGGGCGUGUUUUCCUGUAUGUAUUUUUUCGUGCGGCCACAAAAAGCAUCAGCUGGGGUUCCCGAAGGUCAGAAAAUGGCUAUUGAUUAAUCUACUAGAAUAGUUGCCGAGAGAAAUAAAAACGACGUAAAAUAGCAGGGAACCUAUAAAUAAAGAAGCCAUAACUGGCUACUUGGAGUUGUUAAACGACUUAGCAUAUGAAAAAAUCGGAAAUGAGGCGCUGGGGAAGGAGCUGGGAUUGGCAGCGGCCUGGGUGUGGACAAAUCCUCCAAGAUUUAACUUCCAAGAAAACCGGCGGCGGAGCGGGUGGAGGAGGCGAGGAUGUGUGGCCAAUGCACGCGGAGUGCAAGGCCGCCUAGUUGGGAGCCGCAAGAGCCUGCCUGGUGUGGCAGGCACACGGAACCCAAUCCCUGUCUGUCCGCUGCGGCCUGGGAGGGGAGCGCCGGCCUCACCAGAGGAAGGAGCACGAGGGGAGGAGUUCCGAGAGGAAAUAAUUAGUGAAAUAUUUGCAGAAGAUGCUGGGAUGUGGAUUUAAUUCCGGAUGGACAGUGGUGCUUCUGAUUCCCUCAGUCUGUUUCCCCACCCACGAUCUCCUCUUUCCUUGGCCUAGACACACCAAAAAUAAUUCAAUAAAAUAAAAAUAAAAAUUUAAAAA
Molecule: long non-coding RNA, 1229 nt
Filed under: Homo sapiens (human)
Lineage: Eukaryota; Metazoa; Chordata; Mammalia; Primates; Hominidae
Description: non-protein coding FOXD3-AS1:5
Source: RNAcentral